CGCAAAUGGUUCUGGCCUAGACCCACCCACAGCGGCGGGCAUCACCCAGGCCGCGAACAAGAGCUUCCUAACCCUAGUUCGGCGACGACUCGGCGCGCGGCGGCGGUUGGUUCGGAGCCGACGAGGGCCACGUGGGGCACGCGAAGGGAGCGCAGCCGCCGGCCUCCGCCGUGGUUGCUCGCGGCAUCGGCGAGGACGACCUCCUCGAGGGGUUUCGCAGCCCAGGUAAGUCAGAAAGAAAUAUUCCAUCCUCGGACAAACUUCUCUUGUUGCAAUGGAAUCCAAGUUCUUUCGGUUCCUGAAGCUUGUCGGAGUUGGUUUCAAAGCAAGGACAGAGCAAGGAGGCCGCGAGUUGUUUCUGAAACUAGGCUACAGCCAUGAGGUGCAGUUCACCGCUCCACCCGCCGUCCGCGUCUUCUGCUUCAAACCCAACAUAAUAUGCUGCACUGGCAUUGACAAGCAUAGAGUGCACCAUUUUGCCGGAGCCGUCCGAAGCAGUAAACCUCCGGAAGUGUACAAGGGGAAGGGCAUACUGUACAUUGAUGAGGUCAUAAAGCUGAAGCCGGGGAAGAAGCAGCAGAAGAAGUAACACGUGGGUGAGCCUCCCCAUUUGACUUCUAGCCUGCUGUUAAGGCGCCGCGUAGCGUUUGUUGCUGCAGAUUUCAUGUGGUUUUCUCUGUGCUGGGCUAUUAUGGCUAGCCCCGGUACCAGGCUGGACUUCGUAAUAAUACUCCGUAUGUGAAUCGUCUGAUGAACAUGCAUACCGUUGGGUGGGGGUGGAUCAGCGGAUUCCAACAUUUUUGUUUUGUUUUGAGCUGGCUGGAUGUGACGUAUCUUCAAUAGUUCAAUGUGUUUGUUGCUGACACAA
This is an RNA transcript of Triticum aestivum (bread wheat), 868 nucleotides long. It is a transcript of the gene named 60S ribosomal protein L6, mitochondrial, with no coding region annotated. The record is from RefSeq and is a predicted model, not a curated record. The transcript has 2 exons. NCBI's taxonomy places the organism in Eukaryota, Viridiplantae, Streptophyta, Magnoliopsida, Poales, Poaceae.